This 460-nucleotide ribosomal RNA is filed under the name uncultured bacterium. Its description in RNAcentral is "partial 16S ribosomal RNA". It matches the Rfam family "Bacterial small subunit ribosomal RNA", at positions 338 to 795 of the family's 1533-position model. The record is from RNAcentral.
CCUACGGGAGGCAGCAGUGAGGAAUAUUGGUCAAUGGGCGCGAGCCUGAACCAGCCAAGUAGCGUGAAGGAUGAAUGCCCUACGGGUUGUAAACUUCUUUUAUAAAGGAAUAAAGUGAGGCACGUGUGCCUUUUUGUAUGUACUUUAUGAAUAAGGAUCGGCUAACUCCGCGCCAGCAGCCGCGGUAAUACGGAGGAUCCGAGCGUUAUCCGGAUUUAUUGGGUUUAAAGGGAGCGUAGAUGGGUUGUUAAGUCAGUUGUGAAAUUUUGCGGCUCAACCGUAAAAUUGCAAUUGAUACUGGCAGUCUUGAGUAGAGUAGAGGUAGGCGGAAUUCGUGGUGUAGCGGUGAAAUGCGUAGAUAUCACGAAGAACUCCGAUUGCGAAGGCAGCUUACUAAACUGACACUGACAUUGAGGCUCGAAAGUGUGGGUAUCAAACAGGAUUAGAUACCCGAGUAGUC